Molecule: unclassified non-coding RNA, 716 nt
Filed under: Hevea brasiliensis (rubber tree)
Lineage: Eukaryota; Viridiplantae; Streptophyta; Magnoliopsida; Malpighiales; Euphorbiaceae
Source: RNAcentral
GGCGACUUCACUUUUUCCGUCCACCGGCUGAAAGAGAAAAAUGUUUCACCACCUAUUUUAAAAAGUAUUUAUUUCCCACUUUUAUUCUUCGAAUCUACGGUAGAAAUUAAUUGGAAAAAAAUAAUAUUCUUUUUGGAUCAGAAAAUAAUUGAAAUUCGCGAUAAAGAAAAAUUCUUGUUUUGAUCUUCCAUUGAAGGGUUCAUUGAUUUCUGAGCUUUUUGAUUCAAAGGGUUUUUUCAGAAAAUGGAGAAAGUAAUGAAUAUAUUGAAGCCGAAACCGAAUCCUCAACAGAUUUUGAGGGAUUGGCAACGUCGGCUCCGGCAAGAGUGUCGGAAUAUUGAACGUCAAAUUCGAGAUAUACAAAGGGAGGAGAAGAAUGUACAGAAAGCAAUUAAAGAAGCAGCAAAGAGAAAUGAUAUGGGUUCUGCCAAGGCACUUGCUAAAGAGAUUGUGAGAUCUAAAAAGACUGUGAACCGAUUAUACGAGAAUAAGGCGCAGUUGAAUUCAAUAUCCAUGCACCUUGGAGAAAGUGUUGCCAUUGCUCGCACAGUGGGGCAUUUGUCUAAGAGCGCUGAAGUCAUGAAGCUCGUCAAUAAUCUUAUGAAGGCUCCAGAAGUGGCUAUGACAAUGCAGGAGUUUAGUAAAGAAAUGACCAAGGCUGGUGUCAUGGAAGAAAUGGUCAAUGAUGCGGUGGACAGUGCCCUGGAUUCAGAAGA